Long non-coding RNA from Drosophila ananassae, 761 nucleotides. RefSeq lists it as uncharacterized. The transcript is spliced from 4 exons. NCBI's taxonomy places the organism in Eukaryota, Metazoa, Arthropoda, Insecta, Diptera, Drosophilidae. The record is from RefSeq and is a predicted model, not a curated record.
AAAAUCUGAAGGCGGCCUUUCAUAAAACAAAGGAAAUAUGUUAUAUACAUAUAAGCUGAAACCGCUUAAUAAAAUUUUUAUUCUCCUGCUCACACCUCUGGAGACUGCAUCAUGAAGUUAACUGAGUUGCUCUUAUUUUUGGCUAUUUUUUUGGCGGCUGUUUUGUAUGUCAACGGAUGCAAAAGGAGUGGAGAAACCUGCAAUAAUGAUGAUAUAUGCUGUUCGAGACAAUGUGCCCUGGCACCUUUUCGUUUUGGAUGGACUUGCGUUUAAAAUUUUAAGAGAAAUAUAAUUGAUUCCUUCUUGGUAUCAAUCGCUUGGAAAAGGAUUCCAAGCAGAAUAUCAAUAAAUUCAUUUUUACUUUUGACAACCGAAAGUGCCACUGGGAUGCCCUAGUUGCCACAUGUUGCAGGAGGAGUCACUUUGCUGGUAAAAUGGAAGAAACCUACAACUAUCCUGGUAGACAACAUCAUCUGACAGUUUGUCUAACAUUAAAAGCGGCAAAAUGUUGCGGCGUUGCCUGCCAAAUGACAUGAUUUCUCAGUUCUGAUUCGGUUGCCACUCUGCAGCACCCCUCCAUGACUCCUCAGCCCCAGAGCUCCACAUCAACUUCAACUCAAGAACUGAACGAAACUUUUGCUUAUCUGCGUCACAGCCACAAAACCGAAUCCCAACUCCAGCCAACCACAUCGACGCCCAUUUCCAGCCUCUGACUACACUGAGGAUCAAGAAUAUAUAUAAGCUAUAUCCAUGGAUAGAAA